AAACUGAUAAAAAGGGCUAGUGUAAUCCAACUGUAACAUUGUGGAGGCGACAACAACACAAGGGAGAUGAUCAUGAGAAAGGAGGGAACCGAUACACUUCAAAACAUGAAGGGCAUAACUGCAAAAUAAUGUUUAGUACAAUUCAAAUUUUGUGUUCCUUGCAACAGAUGUUUCGGAUCGAUGGAGUACAAUGCAGGAUACUUUGGUUUCCUCAUAUUCCCCUGAACAGGCAUCAUUCCAGGGGAGCUUCAAAUGAAUUAUCUAAACCAUCUAAGUCUUUGCAAACAUUCUAUCUACAUUUUUCUCAUGGAUUUGGAUUUCUCCACAGCAUACAACAUCUUCAGUUUUGACAUCUAAAUGCAAAAGCACAACAAAUGCAUUUGCAUGCAUUCCACAGAUCUGAGUCACAGAACGCCACAGCCACAAGUGGCUAUCAACCCUUCACAAACACACACACCCGUUANNN
This 466-nucleotide long non-coding RNA is filed under the name Hordeum vulgare. Its description in RNAcentral is "long non-coding RNA (HVUL_LNC001247)". Lineage: Eukaryota; Viridiplantae; Streptophyta; Magnoliopsida; Poales; Poaceae. The record is from RNAcentral.